ACAUCACAGGUUAAACUAGGCUGUUCUGCUGUGUACCACAUCAUAGGUUAAACUAGGCUGUUCUGUACCACAUCACAGGUUCAACUAGGCUGUUCUGUACCACAUCACAGGUUAAACUAGGCUGUUCUGUACCACAUCACAGGUUAAACUAGGCUGUUCUGUACCACAUCACAGGUUAAACUAGGCUGUUCUGUACCACAUCACAGGUUCAACUAGGCUGUUCUGCUGUGUACCAC
This is a long non-coding RNA of Oncorhynchus keta (chum salmon), 236 nucleotides long. RefSeq lists it as uncharacterized. NCBI's taxonomy places the organism in Eukaryota, Metazoa, Chordata, Actinopteri, Salmoniformes, Salmonidae. The transcript is spliced from 3 exons. The record is from RefSeq and is a predicted model, not a curated record.